This 685-nucleotide ribosomal RNA is filed under the name uncultured Lachnospiraceae bacterium. Its description in RNAcentral is "bacterial SSU rRNA". It matches the Rfam family "Bacterial small subunit ribosomal RNA", at positions 46 to 732 of the family's 1533-position model. Lineage: Bacteria; Bacillati; Bacillota; Clostridia; Lachnospirales; Lachnospiraceae. The record is from RNAcentral.
GCUUAACACAUGCAAGUCGAACGGGAAUUACUUUAUUGAAACUUCGGUCGAUUUAAUUUAAUUCUAGUGGCGGACGGGUGAGUAACGCGUGGGUAACCUGCCUUAUACAGGGGGAUAACAGUCAGAAAUGGCUGCUAAUACCGCAUAAGCGCACAGAGCUGCAUGGCUCAGUGUGAAAAACUCCGGUGGUAUAAGAUGGACCCGCGUUGGAUUAGCUAGUUGGUGGGGUAACGGCCCACCAAGGCGACGAUCCAUAGCCGGCCUGAGAGGGUGAACGGCCACAUUGGGACUGAGACACGGCCCAGACUCCUACGGGAGGCAGCAGUGGGGAAUAUUGCACAAUGGGGGAAACCCUGAUGCAGCGACGCCGCGUGAAGGAAGAAGUAUCUCGGUAUGUAAACUUCUAUCAGCAGGGAAGAUAGUGACGGUACCUGACUAAGAAGCCCCGGCUAACUACGUGCCAGCAGCCGCGGUAAUACGUAGGGGGCAAGCGUUAUCCGGAUUUACUGGGUGUAAAGGGAGCGUAGACGGUGUGGCAAGUCUGAUGUGAAAGGCAUGGGCUCAACCUGUGGACUGCAUUGGAAACUGUCAUACUUGAGUGCCGGAGGGGUAAGCGGAAUUCCUAGUGUAGCGGUGAAAUGCGUAGAUAUUAGGAGGAACACCAGUGGCGAAGGCGGCCUACUGG